Molecule: transfer RNA, 77 nt
Filed under: Prevotella sp.
Lineage: Bacteria; Pseudomonadati; Bacteroidota; Bacteroidia; Bacteroidales; Prevotellaceae
Description: tRNA-Asp
Rfam family: tRNA
About the family: Transfer RNA (tRNA) molecules are approximately 80 nucleotides in length. Their secondary structure includes four short double-helical elements and three loops (D, anti-codon, and T loops).
Source: RNAcentral
GGGGCUAUAGCACAAUUGGCUAGUGCAUCUCACUGUCGAUGAGAAGGUUUCGGGAUCAUACCCCGAUAGCCCCGCCA